CUACGGGCCGCCAAAGCCCGAGCCUGAUAUGAUCAAACUCAUUCACCAUGCUAUUAGCAGAGGCAUCACCCAUCUUGACACCUCCGAUAUGUAUGGACCUCACACCAACGAAAUACUCAUUGGCAAGGUACCGUAUUUGCAAAUUUUCUGCUGUUGUGUGCUAUGCAUAAACUCUUGUACUUCUAAUUUCUAAAAGAGCAUAUUUGUAAGUAUUUUAUUUGGGUAUAUUAUAUUUAACCCCCUGCACUUGAAAUCUUGUCUCCCUUUGUGCCCCCUUAAUUUUGUUUGUCAGCACUUAAACUCCAUCUGUUUAAAUUAUAAGUAUUAUUAGUCAAAUAAGACAAUAAUAUUCUUCAUUUCUUCUUCUUCUUCUUCUUCUUCUUCAUUUUUUCAGAUGUUUGUCCUCAAUUGUAAGAGAAGGUCGUAGGUCUAGCACAUACGUUGAGUAGCUGUAUCCGAUUAGAAGGAUUUAGAUCAUAAUGGAGUUGGUAAAAUAGUACUAUUUUCGUCUUUGAAGUUAAAAUUGUCAUCAAUUUAUGGAAAGUUUACUAUUUCUCUGAUAAGAGAUGGUAAAAUUUACUUUUUACGAGUACUAAAGUUUUAAAGAUUAUGAAAAGAGAAUUGUACGAAUGAAUAUAAGGGAAAAGAAAGGUAAGAACAUAAAUAGAUUGUGUUUGGAUUGAUUUUGGGAGGGGCAAGGAGAGGAAAGGGAAAGAAAAGGAAAUGGAUGGAUUGUGUUUUGCUCAGACAUCAUUUCCAUACAAAAGUAGACGGAAACAGAGGGAAAGAAAAUCUAGUUGAUGAUUUUCUUAUAAAAUGCCUCAAGCACCCAAAUUUUACAUAAACUUGAGUAACCAUGUGUUUCAUAUCUGUAGAACUUGCCAUUUGUGAAACCUGCUUUAGAUAUGAAUUGUGGGAUGCAACAGCAGGCUAGGAAUGUUUGACUAAGCAACUUAUGUAAAUAUUUUAUCGUUAAGUGAAGUUCCUCUUUUGCUGUUUAAAAAAAAAAAAAAAAAAGAGAGAGAAAAACCAUUCCUUUAAUGUCUGUCAUUCUACCAAACAGCAGAUUUAGGAUUUCUUUUUUUCCCAUCCAUAUCUAAUCCAAAUAAGGCAAAUGAGAACUAUUUUCCACUACUCUCCUUUCCUUUCUUUUUCACUAGGAUGUUUUAUUUAUUCUUUCCUUUGAUCCUAAUGGUUCCUAAAAGGGCACUAAUUAUUCUACAUUGAUCGUUCCCCAUAUUUGUAUUAAUGUGCAUGUUCACGAUUCUGUGUACGUUCAUGUUGUGCAUCAAAUCUUGUGAAUGUCAAAGCUAAGAUUGUAAAUUUAAGUUGAAGAAACAUAAAAGAAAAAAGAAAAUGGAUUGGCUCCUUUAAGAGUAUCAGACUUCUAAACCCCAAGGAUUACAUAAUUUUCAUAUCCUUUGCUAUACAAAGAAGUGGCAUAGCCUUAACAAUGAAGUGCUGGAAAAACUCCAGAAGGACUGUGCCAUCCAUGAAAUCACAAUUCCGCUUGCUAUACCAUGCAUUAAUGUGUAUGCCCUUGAUGAUUAAUAUAAUGAAAUCAUGGUUCUAGGCCUUGAAGGAAGGAAUAAGAGCGAAAGUGGAGCUAGCAACAAAAUUUGCAAUCAGUUAUCAGGAUGGGAAAUUUGAUGUACGUGGUGAUCCAGCCUAUGUGAGGGCUUGUUGUGAAGCGAGUUUGAAGCGGCUUGAUGUGGACUGCAUUGAUCUCUAUUAUCAACAUCGCAUUGAUACACGUGUGCCCAUUGAAGUCACGGUUUGCUCGUCUUGCCUUUCUUGUAUUUUAGCUCCACCUCAUUCUUGAUGAAACAAAAGUUUGAUCAACUCCAAAUUUCGAAUAAUUCAGUUUCAUGUGCGUUUCAAUUCUUCAAAAAUUGCACAGAAAAGUUAGUCAACCUUAUGGUCUAGGCUAAUCUGCAGUAUGCUAAAUCUUAUUUAGCACCAGGCACCCUGAAAAGUGAAAACAAUGAAAAUGUCUUAUAUUAGCUUGGCAGUCCUGCUGAGGGAUAUACAGGUGGAUAUCAUGCUAUACAUUGUACAGCUUUCCUUUAGAAGCAAGAGACCUGAGCAUUCUCUUUCAUUUGAGAUAGGCUAUCCAGUUGAGUAAUGAUAUGCUAUUUACUUACCUUGUCAUUCGUUUUCAGUCGGUGCCAAAAGCACUGCAGAUAGAAGUUUUUUAGUCAAUAUCUAAAAAACGUGGUACUCAUUUUGUUCAGAGUAUAGCUUUUUGUCUAAUUGUGAAAGCCAGCUGCGACUACCCCGUUGACCUCUCUAAGCAAUUCAAAGAUUGCAGCUGCUUGCUUACAUUCAGCUUUUAUGAAAACAAUUUCUGUCUUCUUUUUCUAAUAUAGUCAGCAAAGAAUUGUCUUGUUUUUCCUGAGUAUUAGGAAGAAACUUUCUUGCAGUUUAAUCACUCAAAAUACAGGCAAGUAUAAAGGAAAUCAAGGAAAUCGACAACUGAUAAUUGAUAUGUGCAGCCAUUAUUAUAUCUAGACGAAGUCAACAAUGUCGUGUAAUCAUAUUGGAGGAGCAUUAUGUUGGCAUGGUCCAAUAGAGCUAAGUCAUCCGGUGGGCUGUACAUAGAGAAGUAUCACUGGAUGCUUAUUGCCAUUUUUGUCAAUUAUUGAUUUCAGUUUGACGUAUAAUUUGUCCACGACUUCAUUGAACUAGUCCAACUUUUACUUUUUUGCACGUAAUAUUUCGAUUAUCUGCCUAAGUAUUGAAUGUAAUAAAUCAGCUUUGCAUUUUCUUGUCCAUUGAAAUUCUCUAGAUAGGAGAGCUCAAGAAACUGGUUGAAGAGGGUAAAAUAAAGUAUAUAGGUCUGUCUGAGGCCUCAGCUUCAACAAUUCGAAGAGCACAUGCUGUUCAUCCAAUAACAGCGGUACAGUUGGAGUGGUCAUUGUGGGCCAGAGAUGUCGAGGAAGAGAUUAUUCCCACUUGCAGGUAGUGCAUAUAUUCUGCUGCAUUUUCUACGUGGUCUAGAAGAAAUAUGAAGUUCUUAAUUCAGUUUUUGGUAUAAUCUUUCAGAGAGCUUGGAAUAGGGAUUGUUGCAUACAGUCCACUUGGAAGAGGAUUCUUCUCUUCAGGUCCAAAGCUGGUCGAGAAUUUGGCUGAAGGUGACUGCCGAAAGGUUUGUGCAUAUCCAAAACUAUGAAGUUUUUGAGUAUAGAUUGUUUAUAGUUCGAAUAAGUUUCUCACUCAUCUACUUUUACCACUUCAGUGACAAUCUUGCUUGAUAUCCCUAUUCUUGUCUAUCUGUCAUAUGUUGCUGCACUUUUUGAUGUCCAAUAAUUUGAUUAAGCCUUAUAAUAUGAUCACAUUUAAUCAAAUUUCUAUUAAGCAGAGCAAAUCAACAGGCUUUUUUUUUUCCUGUCGAACAAGUCUUGAGGUCUUUAGUUGAUUAAAUGAAUGCAGAUUUUGGUGUCCUCUGUAUUUAGUUCAAAUUAAAAGAUAUAGCGCUAGCUUUGUCAAAUUUUAGAUCUUAUAUUAAUUGAAGGUUGUUAUUGCAUGCUGGAGAUUUAUAUAGUGGACAACAAUCACAAGCAAUCGAUAGUAUCGAAUUUUAAAGUGCAAAGAUGUCGCAAGACAUCAAAACAGGAAGAAACUAUGUCACUUUUUAUGUAAAAGUCUCUUUUCAGUUUUGAGGGGAAAUGGACCUUGGACUUCAAUUUCAUCAUUUAGUCUCAGGCACAGAAUUUCAUCAUUUUGUCCUGUGAAACUAUCAUUUUUCCUUUACCAUUAAUCCUAAAACUGAGUUUCAUUGGUCAGAAGUGUACUUCUUAGUACAAACAUUAGUUGAUAUGCAUUUUAAGGUUCCCCUUUGAUGGGAAAUGUAUCUCAGAACUUAACUCCAACAGUUGAUGUUUCCUACUUGGAUUAUUCAGUCCACCUUGAUGCAUUGUUCUUUGCCCUGAACUUGUGUCCUUCAAACAAUAUUGCUGAUCAUCUUGAAGUAAUGUACCGUUUGUUCAUUUCUCCCUUCUGAUUUCUUGCAUUAUAGUUUCCUCUUUAAUGGGAAAUGUAUCUCAUGAUCUACCUUCUACAAUUAAUGUUUCUUAAGAGUACUCAGUCCACCUUACUGGAUUGUUCCUUCCCCUGAACUUUUUACACCUUAAACAAUACUAUCAAUCAUCUUGAAGUUAUUCAUAUUGUCUUCAUACCUAUCACCCUUUACAGUUGCUUGAAUUUUUGAAAUUCAUACAAUGUAGGAUAUGCCAAGGUUUCAAGCAGAGAAUUUGGAGCACAACAAGAAGUUGUAUGAGCGGGCCAAUGCCAUUGCUUCAAGGAAGGGUUGUACUCCAUCACAGCUAGCAUUGGCCUGGGUCCAUCACCAAGGCAAUGAUGUUUGCCCCAUACCUGGCACUACCAAGAUUGAGAACCUCAAUCAGAAUAUAGGAGCUUUGUCUGUAAAACUGUCAGCCGAGGAAAUGGCGGAACUUGAAUCUAUUGCUUCUGCGGGAGUCAAGGGUGAUAGGUAUGCGCCUGGCCUUGGUACUUGGCAAACUUCUGAAACUCCGCCUUUGUCAACCUGGAAGCGGACAUGAAGACAUACCUUUGUUAUGGCAAUAAUUCCUUCUAGCUAUGUGCCUGAUGGUGGAUUUCACUAUAUUGAGAGUUGAGUGAUAUGUAAUUGUUCCAAUAAAUUUUGACAUACUAUUGUCUCUAGGGCUAUGGCACGUAAAGUUAUAAGUAGAAUGGAUGGAGUUUCUUCAGAGAGGUUGUAAUAAAUAAAGAUCUGGUCAUGUAAAAGCUGAAUAUAAUUUUCCUUGCAGUUGAAUGCAUUAAGAGUUAUAUAUUGUACUUUUGAAUGCUAAAGUGGUCCAUUUUUUAUGUGCUACUGCUACGAGAGUUAUAGAUUGUUGAACAGCAUUCAAUUCUGGACUUAUUAAACAUAAGCAUAUAAACAUUUUAUUCUCGGAAUAUUUACAUCAAAAGAAACUCCAAGGUCACAUCAUUGUAAAGUGUAAACUAUAUCAUAUUAAUAAAAAGCAAAAAAAAUGUCUAAAUGAGGAAAAAAAAUGUACUAUAGAAGAAGUCAACAAUGUCAUGUAAUCAUUUUAUCCUAAAAUUGAGAUUCAAAUUUAGUUGAUUUGUAUUUUGAGUUUCCUCUUUGAUGGGAAAUGUAUCUCAGAACUUUAACUCCAACAGUUGAUGUUUCCUACUUGGAGUACUCAGUCCACCUUGAUGCAUUGAUCUUUCCCCUGAACUUGUGCCCGUCAAACAAUAUUUCUGAUCAUCUUGAAGUAAUUAGUACCAUCUGUUCAUUACUCCCUUCUGAUUUCUUGCAUUAUAGUUUCCUCUUUAAUGGGAAAUGUAUAUCAAGAUCUACCUUCUACAAUUGAGAUUUCUUAGAGUACUCAGUCCACCUUACCAGAUUGUUCUUUUUCCUGAACUUUGUUCACUUCAAACAAUACUAUGAUCAUCUUGAAGUUAUUCGUAUUGUUGUCUUUUGUGGACGACACAUGCUUUACUGCCUUUUUGAAUUUCUGCAUUGCAGUUGCUUAAAUUUUGAAAUUCAUACAAUUUAGAAUAUGCCAAGGUUUCAAGUAGAGAAUUUGGAGCACAACAAGAAGUUGUAUGAGCGGGUCAAUGCCAUUGCUUCAAGGAAGAGUUGUACUCCAUCACAGCAAGCGUUGGCCUGGGUCCAUGCCAAGGCAAUGAUGUUUGUCCCAUAACUAGCACUACCAAGAUUGGAAACCUCAAUCAGAAUAUAGGAGCUUUGUCUGUAAAACUGUCAGCAGAAGAUAUGGCUGAACUUGAAUCUAUUGUAUCAGCUGGAGUCAAGGGUGAUAGAUAUGAUCCUGGCCGUGGUACUUGGCGAACUCCUGAAACUCAACCUUUGUCAACUUAGAAGACUACAUGAAAACAUACCUUUGUUGAGGUAUUAAUUCCUUCUAGCAUUCUACCUGUUGGUGAUUUCACUGUAUUGAGAGUUGAGCGAGUUGUAUUUGAUCCAAAAACUUUGUCAUACUAUUGUCUCGAGGGUUAAGACAUGUAAAGUUUUAAGAAGAAUGGUGUUUCUUUAGAGUGCUUGUAAUGAAUAAAGAUCUGGUCAUGUAAAAGUAGAACACAACAUACCAACAAUGUCAUUGUAAACUACAUCAUACCAACAAAAAAGUAGAAAAUGGUCUAAAGUGAAUCAGAAAUCAACAAAAACUAUGUAAGCACCAAUGGAAAGCAGAAAAGUUCUUGAUACCAUAGUAAACACCAAUGGAAAGCUAAAAAGUUCUCGACGCCAUAGAAAUUAGGGAUUCGUUGGGCAAAAAAGUUCUUAACACCAUACUCUAUAGACGUAGGGGAUCCAGGUUUGGGCAUCUAGCUAAGUGGAACAGGUAAAGGAAAGCUGCAUCACAGAUGUAGCAAGUAGUUCCAAUGCCCUUGCCAAUGGUAUAGGCUUUCUUGCUUCCAACAUGGUCUUGAAAGUGCAGAUUAGAGAAGGAUAUCAAAGCCGGCCAGCUGCGAAUCCUGUGGGGUGAAAACCAUACAUUUGAGAACAUAAACAAAACAGAGCUGCCUGGUCCUCAAUUUAAGCAUUAUACUUGAGAAGGACAAUACAAGCAUUCAGGGAUAUUUGCAGCCCCAUCCUCAAUGUGUGAGAAAAUAAACUUUACAUGCAGAAAGGAAAUAAAUGGUUGAAAUUACACAAUGGAUGGAUGUUGAAAAGAAUCACUAACAAAUAUGUCUAGAAGAUCGAUCUGUUAAGCAUGGGAAGUUCAAAGAGUAGCAUUUUUUUUGAAUCUCAGAAAAAUGAAGAGUAAGGUACAGUCCAACAAUUUAGGGAAUUCAAACUCUAUUUGUGAAUAAACUGCUUGUAUUUUUCCUUUUUCUAGUGUAAGAUUUAAGGAAAAGUUAAAAUCACUUGACCCCUGAUCAGUUCUUUACCAAUACAUUGAUUUUGACUUCAAUCAUGAACAAAUAAUUCAGAUUAAGACUGAAUAGUUAAUAAAUUGAAAAAAAAGGGAAAGACAUCAGAACUUAGAUGUAACACACUAAUCCAUAACAUCCAGUCCUUCUUACUUUUCGUGCCUUUGGCCCAGUGUUGCAAAAGGCCUUGCCUGAGGUAAGGCAUUUGUCUCUACUGCAGCAGCACGAAAGCCUUGGAGCAUGGGUUGUAAUUCUCAUGAAUUUUAAAAUUUUUGAAUAUUUUAAAAAUAUUGUAAUAUUUAUGCAAAAUAUUAUUAAAACACAUAUAACUAUAAUAAAAUAUGUAAAAUUUUAAAAUUAUAGAAAAAUAUAUUAUCAUGAUAUGCGGUAGUAAUGACAGUAUAGAAAAAAAAAAAUAUGACAAAAAUUCAACGAAUACUAGUCGUGGGCAUCUGAAAAUGGUUAUAGAUGACAAGGGACGAUGAUUUUACUUGGAAACUUGGGUUUUUACAUUCUUGUGGUAUGUAUUACUAUACAAAAAUGGUAAAAUUAAAAUAUAACCAAGUUUUGGGGUUAAAUAAGAAAUUUGAGAUAACAGGUUAGCUAAAUUUUUAAAGUGAGCCAAAGCACAAGGACUUAAUACUACAUGUUUUACUAAAAUGGGACCCACAUCUCUAAAUUCAGGCCCGUCAGGUUCAUCGAGGUGCUUCGUUCGCAAGCCCAUUUGUCAGCCCAAAUCAUCAAACGCUUCCUUCCUCCCCUUUUUAUUUAAUAAACCCGAUACGACUUCCUGAUUAUUCCAGGAUCCAACAAUUAAAACUUUACUGGCUCUAAAAAAAAAAAAAACAAUUAAAACUUUACAUACAAAUAAAUGGUCAAAUUCACUUAAAAAUUGUGGGGUCAUCUUCCACAUUAAACUUUUGUACUAUCCAAGUUUGUUUUAAUUCCUUUGGGAAAAUCAAACAUCGAAUGCAUUCCCCAAAAAAAACAAAAAAGGGAAAAGGAAAUGGCUUACCUUUGCCCUUACGUAUCCAAUCCCAAUUUGAACAUUACAUCAUCCAUCCAAUUGAAACAAACUCCUAUGGAGAUUUUUUUUUUGCUCUAUUUUGUUGUUAGAUCUGAAAGUUUUUUCAAAAUUUGAAUCUAUUUGAACAUAUCUCAUUAUCAUUAUUGAAACUUAAAACCAUUUAUUGACAAAUCUGGCAAUUGCCAUAUGCACAAAAGGGAGACGCUUUAAAAUUCUUUAUAUUUUAUUAGAUGUGUUUGUAAUUUUCAAAUCUAUUGUAUUAGUUAAAUUAUAAUCUGUAAUUUUUAAUGCAUGCGUGACCUGCCAUUAGAGGAGUUAUGUAAAUCAAAUCAUGUUGGACGAUUUUCAAAAAAAAAAAAAAAAAACUUAACCGUCAAUUACUCUUUCCCAUUUUAUUUGUCCACUUUUCAAUUGUCAAUAACUCUUUUAAAAUAUUUUGCAAUACAAAAAUCAACUGAAACCAGUAGACAUUGUAAUUAAUAGCAGUAUUCAAUUCUUGUUUUUGUAUAUUACUCGUACAUCUAAUUAGUCCAAUUUGGAGGGAAAAAAAGGUGAAAACAAAAAAAUAUAAUAGUCACAAAAAACACAGAUCUAGCUCAAAAUAUGGCAGUGACCAAUUGUUCUGCAAAAUUAGUAGGAUAAGCAGUUGACAAAUUCUAUAAUCCCUUUUGGUCAAAUAUUAUUUUUAAUAUUUAGGUCGUUACAAUUUCAAUAAUUUAAAUUACCAGUUACUAUCAUCAUUGGAAGAAGCACAUUGAAGGAAUGAUACUCUAAGAUGACUGAUAGAGCGAUUUUUGAGCACAUUUUGUACUAUUAUUCUGUCCUAAUUUUGGCUACUCAUGGUGCUAAGAAUUAAGAUUUUGCUCAUAUUUGAUAUUUGUAUGAAUUAUAGGUGGUUGGCGUUAAAAAUGAUCUUGCGAGGCGAAUUUCUAGAAGACCCUUCAGGUCAAGACGUGCCCAUGCCAGAAGUAGUGGAAGGUUACCCAUAAAGUCGGACCCGCGGGCUUGGUAGCAAAAUAAGUCAACUAGGGAACCAGGUCCACGUGGAUCAAAGGCGGGGGAUUAGAACCCUUAGGCAAAGCUUGUUCCUUUUUUUGGAUUACUACUGGCGGCGCACAUGAAAAAUAUAAGAGACGAAGCCAGGUUCACGUGAAAGGAAGGAGAUAGCUUAGUUUUCUUUUCCCAAAUUUGUCAGACGUUUGUCUUGCUUUUCUCGGUAGAAAACAGAAGACAAGCCAGAAUCACGUGGGCUUAGUAGAUUAGUUUUCGUUUUCUUCACUGGCAACAAUUUCUUUCUCUGUUUUGACUUUUGAUAAAUUUCAUGAGAUUGCUCCAGUACGGACACGAAAUAAGAAAAGGAAUUAAGAGACUUUCUCUUCAUUAUUCCUCCGUUAGUUCACUUUUCUCAAUUCUUCGGCAAUUAAUUGAAUGUUUUCAAUUAAAUCACACGGGAUUGACAGGAUGAGGAGAGGCUAGUUCUCUCCUCUACCCAGAGGUCGACGCGAGGGCGCGGUCCAUAAUAUCAGUAAGAUCUGAUCAAACUUUCAUUAUUUCUUCCAAUUUGUUACUAUUCGUGCGUUUCUUGGAUUAAUUAUUCAUGGGUAUUUUAUUAAUUGAAUAUCAACGGCCGGGUAUUUAAUUUAAUUUAAUAGCCUACUGUCACAUUAACUAAAUUCAAUCCGUAAUUGUUUGUUUAGUUGAUAACUAGUGACAACCAGCAUAAUUAGCUUUAUGUUGGAGGAAUGCAAGAUCUAAUUUAAAUAAACUCUCUUAGCGUGUUUAUUGAUUAGGGUUGAGUUCUUCUAGUUGUAAUGCAGUUGGAUAAUUAAAUUCCUAUAGUUGUACAUAGAGUUGUUAACUGGUUAGAGAAGCAGUCAACGGUCGUACCUUGGCUGUCGAAAAGGUAAGGAAGAAUUGGUUAUCAGAACUUGUUGUUAGCUAUAACCAAUCAAGUAAUGAAUGAGUGAAAUAUCUUUGCAUCGAUGAUCGUUUAAUUGGACCAUGCCUGAAAAGUUGAUCCUUUGGGUAAAAUUUUAUUAAUUGCUAUUUUUACUAAAUUGCACUUGUUGAGUUAGCUCUUGAGUUUUACUUAUUUUAUUUUUACUUUCACCCCAUUAAUUAUCCCUCUCUUUUAUUCUAUUGACUUAGAAAGAAAUCACUUCCUAUCCGUUCCCUGUGGAAUCGACCCUACUUGCCAUUGUACGCAAAUUUAAUAUUUUUAUAGACAAAUCUGGUAUAUCGGAUCAAACAAAUUUUUUGAAAAUAGGGUGAAUCAAGUAACCCAUUGCACACCUAGAGUCCCUGCUCCAGUACUUGGAUUUGUUCUAUAAUGAAUUGUGGUGGUAAUUAGGACUUUUUAGUAAUUAUUAUUGCACAGGUUCGGCACCUGUCAAUUUUUGGCGCCGUUGCCGGGGAGCGGUGUUUUGGUUAAAUUUGUUUCUUUCUAAGUUAUUCUCUUUGAAUCUGUCUAGCAUUUUUCUAGUUUAUGCCUCGCUCUUCUCGUACAGGCGAAUUGAUUUUCGAUUCAGAAGUAGAGAAGGCUGCGCGCCAAACUAGGAAACAGACCAGACAACUCAGGGAGGAGCAAUCCAGUAUUGCAUCUCAGGGACUGGAUCUUGAGGUUGAAUCAACAGAUUCAAGUAGUGAAAAUUUAAAUGAUCCAGGCCAAGAGGGCAUCCUUAUGGCAAAUGCAAGAAUACUAUAGGAGUUGGCUGCUCCAGAAUUACCCCAGCAGCCUUUGUGCAUUACAUUCCUAACGUUGGCUAAAAAUAUCUCAUUUGAAUUGAAGUCAGAAUUAAUCCACCUCCUACCUACGUUCCAUGGCCUCUCAGGUAAGGAACCCUACAAACACAUCCAAGAGUUUGAUGUGGUAUGCUCCAGUAUGAAGUCUCCAGGAAUUACUGAGGAGCAGAUUAAACUCAGAGCCUUCCCCUUCUCCCUCAAGGAUGCAGCAAAUGAUUGGUUGUACUACCUACCUGCAGGUAGUAUCAUCAAAUGAGCCCAACUUAAGAAGAAAUUUUUGGAAAAAUUCUUCCCUGCGUCCCGGGCUGCAAGUCUGAGAAAAGAGAUAUGCAGCAUUAAGCAAUAUCCUGGAGAAUUCUUAUAAGACUAUUGGGAGAGAUUCAAUAAGUUGUGCACUAGAUGCCCACAGUAUCAAAUUAGUAAAUAACUGUUGAUCCAAUAUUUCUAUGAGGGACUCCAGUCGUCUGAUAGAAGCAUCAUCGAUGCUGCGAGUGGGGGAGCCCUGGCGAACAAGACACCACGAGAAGCAUGGAUAUUCAUUGAAUCAAUGGCGAAAAAUUCUCAACAGUUUGGUUUCCUAAAAAGUAACCCUACCCGGAGGGCUAACGAGGUAGAGACGUCAUCCAUUCAGCAGCAGAUAUCAGAGCUAACAUUUUUUGUUACAAUUAGCUGUGGGAAACAUGCAUCAAGCUAAGGCCUGUGGAAUCUGCACAAAUGUGGGUCACUCCACUGACUCAUACCCUAUGUUGCAAGAGGAUGGGGGUGAACAAGUGAACAUAGUCGGAGGCGUGCCCGUGCCUCAUAGACAGUACGAUCCAUACUCCAACACAUACAAUCUGGGUUGGCAAGACCACCCCAAAUUCAGUUAUGGUAAUAAGCCACAGAAUUCAUUUCCCAAUCGCCUACAAGGAUUCCAACAACCGUAGCAACAAAAGUCUCAACCCUCGUCCUCCAGCUCAGGAAGUCAUUUGGAGAAAAUUGUCAAGAGUUCAGCUACGACUAUAACUCAGCUCCAGCAAGAGACUAGGUUCUUGGUCGCGAGCAUUACUCAGUUCCAACAGGACACCAAAGCAGGCAUGAAAGACAUGGAAAUUCGAAUGAGUUAAAUGACAACUGCCAUUAAUCGCCUAGAGUCCCAUGUUUAUGAAAAAUUGUCAUUUCAAUCCGAGCCAAAUCCCAGAAAUGUAAGUGCCAUAACAUUAAGGAGUGGCAAAAAGGUGGAGGGACCUAAGUUGGUAAAUUCGAAAAGCAAAAGUGAGGAAGAGAUAAAAAAGGAGAUUGAAGAAGAAGGACGCAUUCGUAAAGACCCUAAGGUAAAAUUUACUCUUUCAGCUCCUAUUAAAUCUAACUUACCUCAUUUUCCUUGCAGGUUAGAAAAAACAAAGAAGCAAAAUAAGGAAAAGGAGAUUUUAGAGGUGUUUCGAAAGGUGGCAAUCAAUAUCCCUUUGUUGGACGCGAUCAAACAAGUGCCAAAAUACGCUCAAUUCUUGAAAAACUUGUGCGUUAACAAGAAGAAGUUGAGGGGGGAUGAACAAAUUGUGGUAGGUGAGAACGUUUCAGCGAUUUUGCAAAGGAAACUACCACCUAAAUGCGGAGAUUCAGGUAUGUUUAUUAUCCCUUGUAAGAUUGGAUGUUCUAAUAUCAAAAAUGCCAUGCUAGAUUUAGGGGCCUCUAUUAAUGUGAUGCCUAAAUUAAUUUAUGAUUCCCUAAAUUUAAAACCUUUAAAAGAAAUAGGGAUAAUAAUUCAAUUGGCUGAUCGUACAUUUGCUUAUCCGGAUGGAAUAGUUGAGGAUGUUUUGGUGCAAGUAGAUGGAUUAAUUUUUUCUGCUGAUUUUUACGUACUUUACAUGGAUGAUAGAAGUGCCCCAAAUCCAUCACUCAUUAUAUUAGGAAGACCAUUCUUGAGUACUGUCCAAACUAAGAUUGAUAUUAGUAAGGGUACUCUCACGAUGAAAUUUGAUGGAGAAAUAGUCCAUUUUAAUAUUUUUGAUACAAUUAAAAAUCAUGUUAACUCUCAUUCUGUAUUUGCUAUUCAGGCUACUAAUCCCUCUGUGCAAGAAUUCUCUGAGUUUGUUUGUAGGGGUAAAUUCAAAAUUGUUGCGAACAAGUAUCCUGGAAUGAAAGCAAUUCAUGAGGUGAAAAUGAGUAGAAAAUUCAGGAAAAUAUUGCAUUCAAUGGCUAUUUGGAUCCCGGAGGAGGGCCACAAAUUAGAAGAAAAAUUGAAUUACAUCCAAACUGAAGAGCGGUGUAUAGUGUCUAGCCAAAAACAUUAAAGAAAGGCGCUACUUGGAAGGAAAUCCAAGGCUUUCAAUUGUGUUUUUUCAUAUUUGUGUGUUCAAGAUCAGUGGGUUUAGGUUCCUAUUGACAAGCAAUCUUUAUUGUAGGUCAUGGGUGUUUCUGUGUAGUUUUAUUCUAUGUUGGGAGCAAAAAUUUGCGGGCAGAAGACUUCAUGUUACAAGGCUUGCCCGCGCCUUGUACUCACCGCGCAUGAACAUUUGUAAAAUUUGGCGGACAGAAGAUCUCGACCUUCAAGGCGUCCCCACGCCUUCCAACCUUUGCAACAAUGAAAGUUAAAAAAAUUGAUCAGGACCUUCUCUAACCCCCCUUUUCUACUUUUCUCUUUUCUUGUCUUAUCUGGUCUUUUUAAUUUCCUCUAUCUUAGUUUCUACUUUUCAAUUUCCUUUGUUUUGUCUUAGUUUCAGUUUCUUUGUUUCCUCUUUUCUUGUUUGUCCGCUGCGCACAGCGCGUCGCUGUGGCGUGCUCCUCUUACCAUGCUCCUCCUGCUGGGGAUUCCCAAUACCGUGCCCUCCAAGAUUCUAUCCGUGAACUAGGUGAGCGGGUUAAGGGACUAGAUGGCCAUCUUGCAGGGCUACAGGUUUUUGCUCGCAUUCAGGCGAAGAACCAAGCAGCUUUCUUUGCUCAUAUUGGAUUCACUCCAGCUCAUCCUUCCCCCCCUUAGUGUCUAGCUGCACCCUCUCGGUGGUCAAGGAAGUUUAUCUCCUUUUCUUCUAAUACUUCAUUUGUCUUUUCUAUAUUGAGAGCAAUGUAGGUUUUAGGUGUGGGGGAGUGGUUUCCAUUAUUUCUUUUGGCUUUGGUACAAAAAAAAAUGAAAAAAAAUGAAAAAUGAAAAAAAUGAUGAAAACAAUGCAGUUAGUCGGCUUUCUGUUCAUUUCUAUGUUUGUUAGUGCUGGAGUGUGUUGCUAUGAUGGAUUAUACAAUCCUGGGGCACAGGUACAUGGUCAAAUAUGCUAGCUGGACAUUUUGUUUUUCCUUGGCAAUAUCGUUGAAUGUAGAGUGUGUUGAACUUGACCCAUUCUUGUAACUUUUGGAAGCUUUUGAGCCAUGCAUGGGCACAUUAUUCUUGUUUGCUCUAGUUUUGUUUGAUUGAGUGGGUAUCACACAUGGUAUUGGUAUUCUAGAACUUGCUAUUUUAUACAUGUCGAGACUAUAUUUUGUUGAACUGGAUGCAUUUGAAAUGAUAAGGGCAUUUGGGAUUAAACCUUCUUUAACUUCCUAAAACCCAUGCCUUCAUCUUGUCUCCCAAUAGUGAACCAAUUUGAACUUUUAUCCGUCAAAUUUGUUUGUUAGCCAUGUUGAUAACCCAAGACCUUUUUAGACUUUCUUGUUCACCCCGGUGUUGUUAAGGGAUGUCUGAAUUUCAUCAUUUGUGCAAGACAAAUAAAUCUGGAGUCGCAAGUGUUGUUAGAGUAGAAUCUGUAUGAUGCUAUCUUUGUGCAUUUAGAACAAAAAGGGGAGAAAUCGACAAUAAGCUGCUGAUCAGAAGACUCUGUCUUACAGGGUGUGCCCACGCCUUGCAACACGUUUUUCAAAAAAAAUGAAAAAAAAGGAGAAGAGAAGCUAGUGAACAUAAGGCUCUGGCCUCCAGGACGUGCCCAUGCCUUGCAAGACAUCUUUGUAAAAAAAAAAAAAAAUUGCGACAUUUGCACAGUAGGUACAGCAGGUGAAACUGUCUUGUUCGCGGAGUUCAUGUGGUGAAGCAUUGUGGUUAUAUGGUGGGUUUUGGACAUCCUCUUGACACAUUACAUCUUACCUUCACCUUCUUAUCCCGCAUUUUACCUAAACCCCAUUACAACCCUAUUAAAAUCUCUUUGAUUAGUGUAUUUAAUUCACUUUUAAGUGGUGGAGAUUUAAUAAAUGUGCAAGCCUAUGGUAAUGUCAUUCCGUGUGUUGAUUUGACCGUUCCCAGUAUUCAUACAUUCUCUUGAAGGUGACGAGUAUUACUGAGCAUAUUCUUUGGUUAAUUGCCUAUCCGGCAUAUUCUAAUUUCGGCGACAUUGUCGGGGGGGCGAGAUGCUUGUGCUAGUAUAGAUUACUAUAUGACCUCUGUUGUCUUGAUUGUAUUUCUGAGUUUCGGAAUGCUUGAGGACAACCAUUGUUUAGGUGUGGGGGGAUUUGAUAGAGUGAUUUUUUAGCACAUUUUGUACCAUUAUUCUAUCCUAAUUUUGGCUACUCAUGAUGCUGAAAAUUGAGAUUUUACUCAUAUUUGAUAUUUAUAUGAAUUGUAGGUGGUUGGCGUUAAAAGUGAUCUUGCGAGGUGAAUUUCCAGAAGACCCUUCAGCUCAAGACGUGUCCACGCCAGAAAUAGUGGAAGGUUACCCAUAAAGCCGGACUCGCGGGCUUGGUAGCAGAAAAAGUCAACUAGGGAACCAGGUCCACGUGGACCAGAGGCGGGGGAUUAGAACCCUUAGGCAAAGCUUGUUCCUUUUUUUGGAUUACUAUUGGCGGCGCACAUGAAAAAUAUAAGAGACGAAGCCAGAUUCAUGCGAAAGGAAUGAGAUAGCUUAGUUUUCUUUUCCCAAAUUUGUCAGACGUUUGUCUUGCUUUUCUCGGUAGAAAACAGAAGACAAGCCAGAAUCACGUGGGCUUAGUAGUUUAGUUUUCGUUUUCUUCACUGGAGACAAUUUCUUUCUCUGUUUUGACUUUUGAUAAAUUUCGUGAGAUUGCUCCAGUACGGACACGAAAUAAGUAAAGGAAUUAAGAGACUUUCUCUUCAUUAUUCCUCCGUUAGUUCACUUUUCCCAAUUCUUCGGCAAUUAAUUGAAUGUUUUCAAUUAAAUCAUACGGGAUUGACAGGAUGAGGAGCGGCUAGUUCUCCCCUCUACCCAGAGAUCGACGCGAGGGCGCGGUCCAUAAUAUCUGUGAGAUUUGAUCAAACUUUCAUUAUUUCUUCCAAUUUGUUACUAUUCGUGUGUUUCCUGAAUUAAUUGUUCGUGAGUAUUUUAUUAAUUGAAUAUCAACGGCAGGGUAUUUAAUUUAAUUUAAUAGCCUACUAUCACAUUAACUAAAUUCAAUUCGUAAUUGUUCGUUUAGUUGAUAACUAGUGACAACCACUAUAAUUGGCUUUAUGUUGGAGGAAUGCAAGAUCUAAUUUAAAUAAACCCUCUUAGCUGUUUAUUGGUUAGGGUUGGAUUGUUCUAGUUGUAAUGCAGCUGGAUAAUUAAAUUUCUAUGGUCGUACUUAGGAUUGUUAUCUGGUUAGAGAAACAGUCAACGGUCGUACCUUAGCUGUCGAAAAGGUAAGGAAGAAUUGAUUAUCAGAGCUUGUUAUUAGCUAUAACUAGGGGUGGCAAUCCGGUCGGGUUCGAGUUGGUGGGGCGGGUUGAGACCCAAAUAUAACAAAAAAAAUCAUUGACCCGAACCUGACCCGUCAACCCGAAACGGGUCAGGAUGCCUGACGCCAACCCGAAAAUUUCGGGUUGGCGGGUCGACCCGAAAUGACUCGAAACUUAAUUUUAAAUUAUUAAUUUGUCAUUGUAAUUUCUAAUAAAAUCAAUUUCUCACAAAAUUAAUUACAUCAUCAAGUAAUAAAAAUUUAAAUAAAAAUUUCAAACCAAAUCUAAAAUAAAUUAAAUACCGUAAAAGUGUUUUAUCCCAAACCAAAUAUAAAAUAAAUUAAAACAGCAUAAAAGUGAAAAAUAACAUAAUAUAUUAUUUGUUCAAAUAUAAUAAUUUUAACUUCACACAAGUUAAAUAAAUUCAUUUAGGAUUAAGUAAUUAAUACCUUUGAAAAAAAAAGAAUGAUUUAGUUUAGUUAGAUAAAAUAAUUUUAUGCUUAUGAAAUUAUUUUUAAUUCGUAAACGGGUCAUAUCGGGUCAUAUCAGGUCACCAUGGGUUGACCCGAAAUCGACCUGUUUUGUUUUCGGGUCAAUCGGGUUCGACCCGAUUCUGACCCGAAUUCCUGAAACCUCAAUCCAAACCCGUUAAUUUCGUGUUACGUUCAUGUCGUGUUUUCGGAUCGUGUCAGAAAUUGCCACCCCUAACUAUAACCAACCAAGUAACGAAUGAGUGAAAUAUCUUUGCAUCGAUGAUCGUUUAAUUGGACCAUGCCUGAAAAGUUGAUCCUUUGGGUAGAAUUUUAUUAAUUGCUAUUUUUACUAAACUGCACUUGUUGAGUUAGCUCUUGAAUUUUACUUAUUUUAUUUUUACUUUCACCCCAUUAAUUAUCCCUCUCUUUUAUUCUAUUGACUUAGAAAGAAACCACUUCCUAUUUGUUCCCUGUAGAAUUGACCCUACUUGCCAUUGUACGCAAAUUUAAUAUUUUUAUAGACAAAUCUGGUAUAUCGGAUCAAGCAAACUUUUCGGGAACAUGAUGAAUCAAGUAAUCCAUUGCACAUCUAGGGUCCCUACUCCAGUACUUGGAUUUGUUCUAUAAUGAAUUGUGGUGGUAAUUAGGACUUUUUAGUAAUUAUUAUUGCAUAAGUUCGGUACCUGUCAAUGACUAUAGAAUUUUUCUAGUCGGUGAUACAAAAUAUUAAUAUUUGAAAAAAAUUCUAAUCACACAAUUGUAUUUGAUCUCAACCAACCGUCACUACUUUAAAUUAAUUUGGAUUGCAAGUAACGUCAUUACUUUAUGUGAAUAUCAAACAUGAAAAGCGCAUGAUAUAUACGAGCAAAAAAAUUAUAAUGUACUAAUUUUCAAUUUCUUUAUGUAGAAUAUUUUCGUGAAUAUUAAUUUUUGACAUAUCUUAGUCAAGGUCAUUAAUCAACCCGGACCUAAUCAGCUCCAAACCCAGGGCAAAUUUCUGGCAAAUUUCUUUGAAAUACUGCCAAAAAGAAGUUUGAAAAAUAUUGUUGAAAAGUUGAGCAUUUUUCUAUCUAGGCUCUUCGUGUCUCCUACACGCAAUGGAUAGUUUAUUUGUUCAAUUUUCUUUUUAUAAAAGGAGCUUGUCGUAUGUCAGGCACAUGGCGAGCCACAUUUAAAAUUUGGUUCCUAUCAUAGAGUCUAUUAUGUCCCUAACACUGAUGGACUGUUUUUUAAUUUUUUUUUUUUUUAAAAAGCAAGUGAAAAGUGUUGCAACUCAAGAGUUGGAUAGUAAUUUUAAAAUUUAAUAGUGCACCUACCUUUUAAUUUUUUCGUGUGCUUUUAAGGUAUCAAACGGGGAAAAAAAAACCAACACCAUAUAACUUCAAAUGCAAGAUGGUACGGAAUUUGUCAAUAUGUAGAUGUUAAUAGACAUUAAUGACAUGUAAAAAGUGCACCAUUCAUCACAGAGAUAUUUAUCCUAAUAUUACACUCUUUUUUUUUUUUUUCAAAAAUUCCAUAUUUCAUGCAAACAUGUAAUCAAUAUGCCUAAUCAACAUUAGAUGAAUUUAAACAAGUAGCCUACAAAUUUAAAAAUAUUUGAUUUCAUAAAUGUGCAUUCGCAAUUUAGAAAAGGUACUCUUCAAAUGGCAAAUCUAGAGAGCAACAAAUACUCCUACUCUAUUUUGAUUUCAGAUCUUCUUUUGACUUGCCAAAAACGUGAAAACAUGAAACUAAUACUGUGUCAGAUGGAGAGAAGUAAUAGAAAUUUGUUUUCUAGAUUCUUUGGCCUCCCAAUUUUUUCAGCGGGUCAACUCCGACCAUUAUCAUGGUCAUGUGAUUGUAGGUGUACCUGGCUUUGUAGACCACAACGUGGAUUGGAUAUGUCGAUUAGCUCCCAUCCUAUUAUAAUAUUUUUUCUUUUAUAAAUCAAUAUCUAUUCUAUUCCUAUUUCAACUUCUAUUCUAGGGAAAGGGGAGAUUCAACUGAAAAAUUGAUAGUGAUUGAAUCACGAUCGGACCAAACAGAUGUACUAUGCACAUAUACGAAUCUUGGAGAAGCCGGUGCAAUGAUGAGAGGUAAUGUUUGAGUCUUGACCUUCCAUUCCACUAAAAUUUAUAGUCUUUGAUAGUGGCCAACCACCCAAAGAGUUGUUGGUUAACUCCCACCCUGUUAGGAAGUAAAGGUUUUCGACACUCUAAAACAAAUGUUUUUUUUUUGUUUUUUCAAUUAUUUUCAUCUAUCACCAACAGCUGGCGGUCAUGGGUCAUUCAUCAAAGCAUAAAUCCGAACGACACUAAUCCCUCACUAGUCAUCCCCUCAUUCCUUCACGUAUGUUUUUAAUAAAUUGGAUUCAUCUAUUUGGUGUUCUAAAAUCACAUUUAAAAAGUUUUUUUUUUUUUGCAAUGUGUUAUUAUUCAGGACAUGAAUGAUAAUUUUAAAAUUUGAAUAGUGGACCUAAAAAUAAAACUUGUAAAUUUUACAUCUUAGCCUACUUACUUUUAAAACAGAGGGAAAAAACAGCACAUAAUUUCAAGUCAAAGAUUGUAUGCAGUUUGUCCAAUAAAUAAAUAUUCAUAAUUCAUAAUUUCAAACGACCGUGCCUAGUUGCGUGCGACCAUGCCCCGUCGGCCUGCGUUCCGCACACUAGGAUUCUAGAACUGUGUGGAACUCUUUAGAGUCCUUAAAGGAUAAGGAUGCAUGAAUCUUGAAGAUAAGCAUGAACCUUGUAAAUAAGGUUGUGUAGAAAAUUCUAAGCACUUGUAGUGUUUUGGCUUGCCUAUAAAUAGGCCAAGCCCUUUGUAUUGGAAAUGGUUGGCGACCUUGUGUAAAGAAACUUUAUGUAUAAUAUAAGCUUUUCUUUGCCACACUUACAUAUCUUUGCAUACUACUUUGGCGCUUCCGCACUUUAACCGCGCAUUGAGUGUUAAUGCUGAACUAGUUAGGCGUUCAUAGCUUAAGACAUGAGCGUAUGUUAGUGCCGCACGAGGUGUUGGUUUGUAGGAAAACAAGCAGCCCGUGACAAUAGGAAUGUGCUUAGAAAUUGACAUGUGCACUGAUGAUUAAUGCGGUGGACCCGUAAGGGAAAGUGGACAUCGGAAGCCACACGCGCAUGAAUUAAGUGUAAGGAGGAAAUGAUUUCGGGAAUAGCUAAUAUUACCAUUUAUCACUGAUUUUUAAAUUCAAAUUAUUUUUUUAAUUUUUCGUAUGUUGUUUGACAAGAAAAAUAAUAUUUUAUUAUUAUUAGAUUCGCAAGAAAUUCAAAUUUAUCUUCUUAACACUUAGUAAAAAUUGAGUUUAAAUACAUAUUUAUUUUUAAAUGAAUAUAAAUGGAUGAGUCGAAUCAAUCAAUUAUCCUGAGUAUUUUGAAUAACUCAGUUUCAUGUCCGUUUCAAUUCUUCAAAAAUUGCACAGAAAAGUGAAAACAAUGAAAAUGUCUUGGACUCGGGGCACGGACGGUUGCAGGUGCAACCGUCCCUGCCAAUUUUAGUCAUUAUCAACUGUGCGUAACUUUCUUUGUACAUCGUAUAACUUUUUUUUUACAGGAUAUAUUUUCACAACAGAUAGUGGUGAGUCCCACACUUGGCGCGAAAAUCGAGUUACAUGGUGUUAUCUUAGCCGCACAAAAUUUUGAGGACAAAUUUUGAUCCUUAACCGUGCAGGGACGGUCAUACUGCCCCAAAUCCAAAUGUCUUAUAUUAGCUUGGCAGUCCUGCUGAGGUAUAUACAGGUGGAAAUCAUGCUACACAUUGUACAGCUUUCCUUUAGAACCAAGAAACCUGAGCAUUCUCUUUCAAUUGAGAUAGGCUAUCCAGUUGAUUAAUGAUAUGCUAUUUACUUACCUUGUCAAUCGUUUUCAGUCGGUGCCAAAAGCACUGCAGUAGCCGUUUUUUAGUCAAUAUCUAAACACGGUACUCAUUUUGUUCAGAGUACAGCUUUUUGUCUAUUUGUGAAAGCCAACUGCAACUGCCUCAUUGACUUCUCCAAGUAAUUCAAAGAUUUCAGCAGCUUGCUUACAUUAAGCUUUUAUGAAACAAUUUCUGUCUUCUUUUUCUCAUGUAGUCAGCAAAGAAUUGUCUAAUUUACCCUGAGUAUUAGGAAGAAACUUUCUUGCAGUUUAAUCACUCAAAAAACAGGCAAGUAUAAAGGAAAUCAAGGAAAAUUGACAACUGAUAAUUGAUAUGUACAGCCAUUAUUAUAUAUAGACGAAGUCAGCAAUUGAUUUAAGCACGUCUCGGUAAGUUAAAAGGUUAAAACUUUACAUACAAAUAAAUGGUCAAAUUCACUUUAAAUUUGUGGUGUCAUCUUCCACCUUAAACUUUUGUACUACCCAAGUUUGUUUUAAUUCCUUUGGGAAAAUCAAACAUCAAAUGCUUACCAUUUAUUGAAACAUUACAUCAUCCAUAUUUUUUUUUGACAAAAAAAGUAGAUAUAUAAUUAAUAGCAGUAUUCAUAUUAUUUUUUGUAUAUUACUUGUACAUCUAAUUAGUCCCAUUUGGAAAAAAAAAGGAUGAAAACAAAAACACAUAAUAGUCACAAAAAACACAGAUCUAGCUCAAAAUAUGGCAGUGACCAAUUGUUCUGCAAAAUUAGUAGGAUAAGCAGUUGACAGAUUCUAUAAUCGCUUUUGGUCAAAUAUUAUUUAAAUUAGCUGGAUGGUCAAAUAUUACUUUUAAUUUUAAUCAUUUAAAUUACCAGUUGAAUGUUGACUUCCCAUUUCACUAAAAUUUAUAGUCUUUGGUAGUGGCCAAUCAUCCAAAGAGCUAUUGGUUUGUUCCCACCCUGUUAGGAACUAAAGGUUUUCGACCUUCUAAAAAAAAUGUUUUUGUUUUCAAAAAUUAUUUUCGUCUAUCACCAACAGCUGGCGGUCAUGGGUUAUUCAUCAAAGCAUAGAUCCGAGCAACACUAAUCCCUCACCAGCCAUCCCUCAUUCAUUGUCGCAUCCUUUUUAUGAAUUGGAUUCAUCUAUUUGGCGUUCUAAAAUCACAUUUAAAAGUUUUUUUUUUUUUUUUUUUUGCGAAAGUGUUAUUAUUCAGGAUGUGUAUGAUAAUUUAAAAUUUUAAUAGUGGACCUAAAAAUAAAACUUGUAAAUUUUACAUAUGAGCCUACCUACUUUUAAAAUAGAGGGAAAAAAACACCACAUAACUUCAAGUCCAAGAUUGUAUGCAGUUUGUCCAAUAAAUAGAUAUUCAUAAUUCAUAAUUUCAUAUACACAUGUUAACUAGAGAUGUCAAUCACAACCCAAUUAUAUUGAUCCGUUCAAAACCGUUCACUAAUAACCCAUCCAAAUUCACUCAUUAAAAUUUAAAUGGGUCUAAGGUUGUGUUUGGAUUGCAUUUUCCGUCAUUUUUCAUGGAAAAAUUACUGUAGCGAUUUGAUAUAUGUGAGGGAAAAAGGUGAUAGGGAAAUGUGAUCACGGAAAACGACAAUAUUUUUCGACAGAAACAAGCAAUCCAAGCAUGACCUAAGUGAGUACCUAAUUAAAUUCAUUUAAUUGGUGGAUAGUUGAUUGAUUCGAUUCACCUAUUUAUAACCAUUUAAAAAAAUAUAUUUUUAAACUCAAUUUUUACUAAGUGUUAAGAAGAUAAAUUUGAAUUUCCUACGAAUCUAAUAACAAUAAAGUAUCAUUUUUCUUGUUAAACGACAUGCAAAAAAUUAAAAAAAAUAGAAUUUCAAAUCAGUGUAAAUGGGUAAUUAAGUAUAUUCAUAUCCAUUUAUUAAAUAGAUAUAAAUGGAUUGAUUCAAUUAUAUCUAUUACCCAAUUAAAAUUUGCUCAAAUCCGUACAAGUCACUCAUUUUGAUGCUUUUAAUGUUAAUAUAUAUUCACAAGUGAAGAGUGCAGCAUUGGUUGGGAAGAUAUACUUAUUUAUCUCAAUAUUAUAAUCGUUUUUUACGUUGCAAAAGUAUUGAUAAUUUCAUAAUUUCAUCGAAGUAUGUAAUCAGUGACAUAACAUUACAUGAAUUUCAACGAAGUAUGUAAUCAGUGACAUAACAUUUCAUCAUUAGUCUUCAGCGGUGAAUCUAUGCUCUUUUCACGAGGCUUCUUUUCAAAGCUUUGAUUAUGGCAUACACUUCUGACAAUAUGCCCCUUUUAGAAUAGGGAUAAGUUUCUGGGUGAAUCUUUUCACGAGGCUUCUUUUCAAAGCUUUGAUUAUGGGGAUAAUUUCAGAUACCUCCCCUGAGGUUUCUGAGAGUUUCACUCCCCUCCCCUGUGGUUUCAAUAAUACCACAAACCUCCCUUAAAACUAGAUAGGCAAUGCCAAAAUAGACCCAUUUUAAAAAUACAAACAAUAAAAAAUUAGUAGCUGGUGAGAGAAACAAGUGUAUACCACAAAUGCCCUCAUUAUCUUGCAUUAAUGAACUAAUCUCAUGUGAAGAAAAAACAGGGAAUUUAAGAAGAAAGAAACUUGAGGGGGUGGAAGUGAGACCAAUGCAUUCAUUAAGGUCUGAACGUCAGUAGUGAACAAAAUGGAAGGCAACGGCUCUUUCUGGUAGGGCAUGUUGUUUUGUCAAGCGAGCAUAUAACUGAAGAACGGCCUGCAUAACCAAAGCUAGUACAUGUUGUUUUAUCAAGUCACAAGCAAUAAUCAAUACAUUACCACAAUCUUCCAUCGUCAAAAAGCCUGUAGGUUUUCCAAAUGUUUUCUCAAAGAUUUAUCGACUUUCUUUAUCCUGCAAAAGAGGAGUGGAUUUUUUCUCAGCAACAUCUUCCAGAACUGGAGAUGCAACAUGUUUCUCUGAUGAGUCAGGUAUUAGUCCUGCUGCAGUCUCUUCUGUACUUUCACGAGAGAUUCUGGGCCUGGAUUGCAACAAAUUAUCCAGGAUUAGAAGUAAGGCACUAAUACAUUUCGGGCUCAAAAUCUCAUUUCCUGCAAUAGUCCUUGCUUUGAAGUUCAUCAAGAUAUCAAUUGCCAAUGGGACAAUGCCACUCUGCACAGCAAUUUGUCGAGCAUUUUCAUCUUCAGAUAAAAUCAAUGCUAAAGUAUGUGAAACCAUGCACAAUGCACUAUUAUCUUUUGAGAAUUCCAUGGGGCACUGCUUUAGCUACUUUACAAGAUAAGGAAUCACCCGAUCACGGUCUUCUCCUUUGUUCCUAUUGCAAAGAGUCACAAGCAAAUCUGUCAACUGGAAAGCCAUUGAAUCACUACUGUGAAACAACUUCAUUGUUGCAGCAAGGAUGUCAUCAACAUAAGGGGUCUUAAUUCGUUCCUCUUCUGCCAAAACAUCCACUGAUUUUUCAGUGUUAUCGACUUUAGAUGCUUCUGAGGAAUUUCCUAGAGAUAAAGCAAGUGCACGAGCCAAUUCAUCAUCCUCCAGCACAGGAUCUUCAGCAUGACUAAAUAACCAUUCCAUAGCCAUUUCGACACUAUUAGUUUCCACUCUUUUUAAUGCCUUCUCAGCUCUUGCUCUUGAGAACCCCAUCUCAACAAUGGUAGCAAUGGUAGCUUCAUUAGGUGGUGGAGCCACCAAACGUUGGUUUGUAUUCCCUAACAACCCACUACGAUUUGUUUAACAUCACCAACACCAGAAUAUACAUGAGUGAUUAGUGAAAUAAUAGAAGUUAUAAAAACUGGAUUACAAUUUGGAAACAAAGGGUGAUUCCAGAUGGGAACUAUAGCAUCCAGAACCUGAGACUGCAGCAUACGAACAAACACUUAAGGGUCCUUAGGAACAGGAAGCAACCCAAUAGACAGACCAACUGCAACAGGUUGCACAAGCAGCUGUGCCUGGGAUGCUAAGGUUGGAGACAACAGCAAAGAAGAAUUGAUAAAAUAUUCAAGAAGGCGACAAUAACUCUGCAAUGUAUCAAGCAGCCAUGAACUGUGAGACAAUUUGCCCUCCUCCGGUAAGACAAUCAUAAAAAGUUACAAGUAACUCUUGGGGUCUACCUUAGCCACUCUUACUUUUCUUCCCAUAAAAUGGAGCACAAUAUCAUGAAAAUCAGUGAUAACCAUCCUACAAUAGACAAUCAUAGGCUACUGAAGUUACAAUAUUAGUUAUUGAAGUUACAGAAAAUAUUAGCUACAAUAUUAACCAUCUUGCAACAUUGGUUGCUGAAGUUACAGAGCAAGUAUAAGCUUUCUAAGUACUGAGGUUUGGCAUCUAACUAUAUCAAACAAUCCAAGUCAGACGAGAAAUUUAGAAUCAAGUAAGCAUAGUCUGGUAGAGGCUUAGCAAACCAAGUCACAUGACAAACCAGAAAAUCAUAAGCAAACAUGUAUCAAGCUUACACAAACAACAACCAAAUCAUCAUAAGCUGCCAAUAUCAUAUUGAAACAGAGUAUGAAAUCUUAAACACUUACCUGGUAAAUUUUUCUUAAUGAGCUAAGAGACUCUUCAGUUUGUUUGCCAAGACCUUUGUUUGCUAAGAACUUUCUUAACGAGAAUCAAGAGCUUUGUUUGCCAACCAUCAACCUCAGUUGCUAUAUCUCAACAAUGGCGGGAACAAAGUAAGUUUCUUGCUUCUAUAGGUACCGUGCCUAUCAAGCUGUUGUGUCAAUCAGACCAUGGCGCCUAAGUUUGGCGCCAUUUUGCUGAAGGCUCCUUUCUAUAUUGGUUGUUAGGACUCUAAUUUUUCGUUAAUUAAUUACAUUAAUUGUGUUUAUAACUAAUUCAACUAAAGUUUUCCAGAUAAUCAUGAAAUAUUAGCAAACUAGUGAGGGUAUUUAAGUCUUUUUGGCACCAAUGACGUAAGAAAUGGGACCUCACAAUCUGACAAGGGAGGUUUGUGAUAUUAUUGAAAUCACAGGGGAGGGAAGUGAAACUGUCAGAAACCUCAGGGGAGGUAUCUGAAAUUAUGGGAUACACUUCUGACAAUAUGCCCCUUUUAGAAUAGCGAUAAGGUUCUGUGUGGGAUAAUUUCAGAAACCUCCCUAGGGUUUGUAACAAUUUCAUCAAGCUUUCUUGAGAUUUUCAAUAUUACACUUACCUCCCUUGAUGAUAGUGACUAUAAUAAUCUUCAUAAUUUUUUCAGAGACAAGCCAUUGAUAAAAAAGGAUUAAAAAAAAACGAAAACAAUUCUUCUUGGCUAAGCCACAUAUUGUGACUAAAUUGUUUCAUCCAUGACCACUAAAUUGUAAUUUUCUAUUACUGAGAAAAGGAAGUAUUUUGGUAAUUGAGGGGCUUGGUUGUUUGAGUAGGAAAAGGGUAAGAAUUAUGAAUUUUAUGAUUGACAGUUUGGUAGACAACAUAUGGAAAAAACUUAUAGAGAGGUAAAAAUUAUAAAGGUAAGAAUUAUGAUGGUGGAUUUUGACAUCUAAAAUAACGAGCUUGUUCGAAAGAGGAAGAAAUGAUAAGACUUUGAAAACUUGGGUAGAUGUAGAAAAUUAUGAGAUGAAAAAUAUUAGGACAUUGGCUAAGUAAUAAAACUCAUAGGUUUAUAGUAUACAAGUGUAUUCUUGAUUUUUGAAAAAUUUUAAUGACUAUUCAUAUUUUGAAAAUUAGAUAAGGACAAUUUUGGGCAUUCGUAUAUUUUUUUGGUCUUACAUCGUCAAGGUGAAACUCAAACCUAUGUUUGAGUAAAUAUAUGUGUAAUUUUCAAAACGUGAGAAAAGCUGUCUGAAAUUAUCAGAAACCCCAGGGGUGGUUUAUGAAAUUAUACAAAAAACUCCAAUAAAGUGGCAGUUCAAACUGGGCCAACCAUCUCCUAUCUUCGCAUGUCCUCCCGCCGGCGGCCCUGAGUCAUCUAUAAAAGUAUAGACCAAGACAGCACUAAUCCCUCAUCAGGCCUCCAUACUUCUUCUUCAGGCCUCAGCAACGAAACAAUAAACUCUGCUCCACUCAACUCUUUCCUCUGUGUCUUGUACUCUUGUCUGAAAAUGGCGGCGUCAGAAGAAGUGAAAGUGCCAAGAAUCAAGCUGGGGUCGCAAGGUUUUGAAGUUUCAGCUCAAGGGCUGGGCUGCAUGGGCAUGUCAGCCGUCUACGGGCCGCCAAAGCCCAAGCCUGAUAUGAUCAAACUCAUCCACCAUGCUAUUUGCAGAGGAAUCACCCAUCUUGACACCUCCGAUAUCUAUGGACCUCACACCAACGAAAUACUCAUUGGCAAGGUACCAUAUUUGCAAAUUUUCUGCUGUUGUCUGCUAUGCAUAAACUCUUGUAAUUUUAAUUUCUAAAAGAGCAUAUUUUUAAAUAUUUUAUUUAGGUAAAUUAUGCUUAAUCCCAUGCACUUCAAAAUUUGUCUCCCUU
This 26878-nucleotide long non-coding RNA is filed under the name Coffea arabica (coffee). RNAcentral describes it as "long non-coding RNA (CARA_LNC002174)". Lineage: Eukaryota; Viridiplantae; Streptophyta; Magnoliopsida; Gentianales; Rubiaceae. The record is from RNAcentral.